RNAcentral lists this ribosomal RNA (509 nucleotides) under uncultured bacterium. RNAcentral's name for it is "bacterial SSU rRNA". It matches the Rfam family "Bacterial small subunit ribosomal RNA", at positions 9 to 514 of the family's 1533-position model. The record is from RNAcentral.
GAGUUUGAUCUUGGCUCAGAUUGAACGCUGGCGGCAGGCCUAACACAUGCAAGUCGAGCGGUAGAGAGAAGCUUGCUUCUCUUGAGAGCGGCGGACGGGUGAGUAAUGCCUAGGAAUCUGCCUGGUAGUGGGGGAUAACGCUCGGAAACGGACGCUAAUACCGCAUACGUCCUACGGGAGAAAGCAGGGGACCUUCGGGCCUUGCGCUAUCAGAUGAGCCUAGGUCGGAUUAGCUAGUUGGUGAGGUAAUGGCUCACCAAGGCGACGAUCCGUAACUGGUCUGAGAGGAUGAUCAGUCACACUGGAACUGAGACACGGUCCAGACUCCUACGGGAGGCAGCAGUGGGGAAUAUUGGACAAUGGGCGAAAGCCUGAUCCAGCCAUGCCGCGUGUGUGAAGAAGGUCUUCGGAUUGUAAAGCACUUUAAGUUGGGAGGAAGGGCAGUAAAUUAAUACUUUGCUGUUUUGACGUUACGACAGAAUAAGCACCGGCUAACUCUGUGCCAGCCG